RNAcentral lists this long non-coding RNA (478 nucleotides) under Mytilus galloprovincialis (Mediterranean mussel). Lineage: Eukaryota; Metazoa; Mollusca; Bivalvia; Mytilida; Mytilidae. The record is from RNAcentral.
AAAACACAACUAGAGGCUCUAAAGAGCCUGUGUCGCUCACCUUGGUCUAUGUGACUAUUAAACAAAGGAAGCAGAUGGAUUCAUGACAAAAUUGUAUUUUGGUGAUGGUGAUGUGUUUGUACAUCUUACUUUACUGAACAUCCUUGCUGCUUACAAUUAUCUCUAUCUAUAAUGAACUUGGCCCAGUAGUUUCAGUGGAAAAUGUUAGUAAAAAUUUACAAAUUUUAUAAAAAUUGUUGAAAAUUGACUAUAAAGGACAAUAACUCCUUAGGGGGUCAAUUGACCAUUUCGGUCAUGUUGACUUAUUUGUAAAUCUUACUUUGCUGAACAUUAUUGCUGUUUACAGUUUAUCUCUAUCUAUAAUAAUAUUCAAGAUAAUAACCAAAAUCUGCAAAAUUUCCUUAAAAUUACUAAUUUGGGGGCAGCAACCCAACAACAGGUUGUCUGAUUUGUCUGAAAAUUUCAGGGCAGAUAGAUC